Molecule: ribosomal RNA, 477 nt
Filed under: Candidatus Scalindua brodae
Lineage: Bacteria; Pseudomonadati; Planctomycetota; Candidatus Brocadiia; Candidatus Brocadiales; Candidatus Scalinduaceae
Also listed under: 1 other name
Description: bacterial SSU rRNA
Rfam family: Bacterial small subunit ribosomal RNA
Source: RNAcentral
UUCGCAAUGCCCGAAAGGGUGACGAAGCGACGCCGCGUGGGUGAGGAAGGCCUUCGGGUUGUAAAGCCCUGUCAGGAGUUAAGAAAUGUAAGUGCGCUAAUAUCGCAUUUAUUUGACGAAGGCUCCAAAGGUAGUCACGGCUAACUCUGUGCCAGCAGCCGCGGUAAUACAGAGGUGGCAAGCGUUGUUCGGAAUUAUUGGGCGUAAAGAGCACGUAGGUGGGUUUGUAAGUCAGAUGUGAAAGCCUUCUGUUCAACGGAAGAAUUGCAUCUGAAACUGCGAGUCUUGAGUGUAGGAGGGGAGAAUGGAACUUCUGGUGGAGCGGUGAAAUGCGUAGAUAUCAGAAGGAACGCCGGCGGCGAAAGCGAUUCUCUGGCCUAUUACUGACACUCAGUGUGCGAAAGCUAGGGGAGCAAACGGGAUUAGAUACCCCGGUAGUCCCAGCCGUAAACGAUGGGCACUAAGUAGAGGGGUUUU